Molecule: unclassified non-coding RNA, 235 nt
Filed under: Hevea brasiliensis (rubber tree)
Lineage: Eukaryota; Viridiplantae; Streptophyta; Magnoliopsida; Malpighiales; Euphorbiaceae
Source: RNAcentral
CGGCAUUUGAGUUAUGACGGCAAUCCGCAGUUGUUUCAUGACGCGAACGAGGCGUUUCAUAACGCGAUCUAUGCAGGCUCCCAGAAUGGGUAUGUCGCCGAAAUGACUUUGGCGACGCGGGUUCGCGUUCAGCCAUUCAGGCGGGCGCAGUUCCGCAAUCUCGGCCGCCUUGCGAAAUCCUAUGUCGAGCACGACAGGGUCGUCGUCGCCAUCAUGCGCGGCGAUAAGGCGGGAG